GUGGCGAACGGGUGAGUAACACGUGAGCAAUCUGCCCUUGACUCUGGGAUAACUGCGGGAAACUGUAGCUAAUACCGGAUAUUUUCCUCGCUGGGCAUCCAGCGGGGAAGAAAGAAUUUCGGUCAAGGAUGAGCUCGCGGCCUAUCAGCUAGUUGGUGAGGUAAUGGCUCACCAAGGCGACGACGGGUAGCCGGCCUGAGAGGGUGACCGGCCACACUGGAACUGAGACACGGUCCAGACUCCUACGGGAGGCAGCAGUGGGGAAUAUUGCACAAUGGGCGAAAGCCUGAUGCAGCAACGCCGCGUGAGGGAUGAAGGCCUUCGGGUUGUAAACCUCUUUUAGCAGGGAAGAAGCGAAAGUGACGGUACCUGCAGAAAAAGCACCGGCUAACUACGUGCCAGCAGCCGCGGUAAUACGUAGGGUGCAAGCGUUGUCCGGAAUUAUUGGGCGUAAAGAGCUCGUAGGCGGUUUGUCACGUCUGCUGUGAAAAUCCGAGGCUCAACCUCGGACUUGCAGUGGGUACGGGCAGGCUAGAGUGCGGUAGGGGAGAAGGGAAUUCCUGGUGUAGCGGUGGAAUGCGCAGAUAUCAGGAGGAACACCAAUGGCGAAGGCACUUCUCUGGGCCGUAACUGACGCUGAGGAGCGAAAGCGUGGGGAGCGAACAGGAUUAGAUACCCUGGUAGUCCAC
This 689-nucleotide ribosomal RNA is filed under the name uncultured Microbacteriaceae bacterium. RNAcentral's name for it is "bacterial SSU rRNA". It matches the Rfam family "Bacterial small subunit ribosomal RNA", at positions 95 to 798 of the family's 1533-position model. Lineage: Bacteria; Bacillati; Actinomycetota; Actinomycetes; Micrococcales; Microbacteriaceae. The record is from RNAcentral.